RNAcentral lists this transfer RNA (75 nucleotides) under Actinokineospora globicatena. RNAcentral describes it as "tRNA-Glu". It matches the Rfam family "tRNA". Rfam says of the family: Transfer RNA (tRNA) molecules are approximately 80 nucleotides in length. Their secondary structure includes four short double-helical elements and three loops (D, anti-codon, and T loops). RNAcentral also lists the same sequence under 1 other name. Lineage: Bacteria; Bacillati; Actinomycetota; Actinomycetes; Pseudonocardiales; Pseudonocardiaceae. The record is from RNAcentral.
GGCCCCUUGGUCAAGUGGUUAAGACACCGCCCUUUCACGGCGGCGACACGGGUUCGAAUCCCGUAGGGGUCACCA